Molecule: long non-coding RNA, 2344 nt
Organism: Gallus gallus (chicken)
Lineage: Eukaryota; Metazoa; Chordata; Aves; Galliformes; Phasianidae
Exons: 2
Source: RefSeq, a predicted model, not a curated record
UUCUGUCACACACACCACAAGCAUAAGAGUCAGCCUGGCCAGAUGGCACAGUUUUUAAAGGUGCUGAGCUUGGAAUUAUUUUCCAUUGACUUCAAGGAGACCUCCAGAUAUUUAGUAUACUUCAUACAUUUACGUCAAGAGCUAUACUAACAGCUUGAGUGUGGAGAUUUGAAUAUUUACAGCAAUCAAAGAAAUUUUGCAGCAAAUAUAACAAAUCUCUCUUCUCCAGUGUAUUUGCUGUACCCACAGCUAAGGAAGAAACAGCAACAUUCUGAGAAAGAAAGAGAUGUGAGACUUCUGACAAGUUGUACUCUGGUCUGGUUUUGGCUAAUACUUGUAGCAUUACAAUGUAGAAUACAAGAACUACAUAGGAAAAGUUCAUGAUCAUCAUUUAGGGCUCAAAAGUGUCUCAAAAACCAACUAAUGUAGGGAUUAUUUUACAAAAUGACCCUAGAUCAACCUUUCAUGAUAGUAUACCUGAGCUGAAAUUCCAAGAUUCAGCAUUUUUCCUCCAUAACUUAACUGAGCUACAGACACAAAUUGAUAAAAUAACCAUUCACAAACUGCAGAGAACAAGAUCUCAUGGGACUUGUGCAGUCAUUUUCUUUUUAAAUCACUAACAAUCUAAAAGACCAACAAAUGUUGUAAAUAUUUGCAAAGAAGCACUUUUUUAAUGCAGUGUGACAGUGUCAGCUCACAGUUUUAUCUUCUAUUCCUCAGAGAUGGACCCACCUUAAAUAGAGUUAAUACAGCCCCUUCAUCUCUCCCUGAAAAUUUAUCUGAGUUUACAGUCCUAUUAUGCUCUUUACUCAGCAUAUUCCUCUAGCUUAAACAAUAUUUUUACCCUCUUCAGUGCCCUGAAAGUUGUGAGAAUUUCAUUAAUAAUAUACUUUCAUAACAAAUACCUCUACAAAUAACUUUGUGUUACCGCCGAAACAGGCUGAAGGCUAGUAGCAUAAAUAAUGAAAUCUGAGACUAACAAAAAAAAAAAGAUUUGGGACCUACAUUUCCUACAUUUUAGGACUGUUUUAGUGAUCUCACUACUCAGGACACAGGUUCUUCAACAUAAUUUUCUGUGUAAUACAAUUGCAGACAGCAAGAAUUUCCUAUGGAAGCUACUCAAAUGCUCCAAAUUCUUGCUCAUAAUUUUAUCAGCUUUUAUACAAGAAUCGUGUAGAAUCAUAGAAUCAAAGAAUUAUAGAAUGGCUUGGGUUGGAAGGGACUUUAAAGAGCAUCUAGUUCCAAAAGCUCUGCUGUGGGCAGGGUUGCCAGCAGCUAAGUCAGGUACCAGAUUAUGUUUUCCAGGACUCCAUCCAACCUGAAAUUUAAUAUCUUCAGUGAGGGGCAUCCACAGCUUCUCUGGGUGGCCUGUUCCAGUGCCUCACCACCCUGUGAAUAAAAAAUGUGAAUAAAAUCUAAUCUAAAUCUUGCCUCUUUUACUUUAAAACCAUUCCCCCCAUUCCACCAUUAUCAUACUAUGUAAAAGUCACUCUCCCUUUUUAGCAGCUCUCUUUAAAUAAUGGAAGGCUGAAAUGAGGCUUUCCCAGAGCCUUCUGACUUCCUUUUCUUCUCCAGACAGCCCAGCUCCCUCAGCCUUUCUUCACGGGAGAGCUAUUGCAGCCCUCUGAUCAUCUUUGUGGCUUCUUCCGGACCUGCUCCAGCAGCUCCAUAUCUUCCUUCUGUUGGGGGCUUCAAAUUUAGAUACAGUAUUCUAGACAGGGCCUCACAAGGAAACAUAGAGAAAGAUUUAGAGAAUCAUGCUUUCUCAAACUUCUGAUUUGCAACUGCAUCCUGUAGGAAUAUUUAUAAUAAACAGAUUAUGUGAUUUUAAGGAACAUAUAUUCAAUUCUGCCUCUGGAAAUUAGCAGGGAAAAAAUCUGUUGAUAAACAAAAAUAGGACAAGUCUUGUGUUAUAUAUAGCUCCAUAUUAUAAAGAGACUCACUAAAUGCUUACAUCUUUUCAGGCAUCAAAGUGCCUGAACAUUUUUUUAAGAAAAUAGAAAUUAAAAUCAAGUCUAGUCUCUCCUGCUGUAUUAGAUUUAACCAACCUAAAAUCUACAUCUUCUAAAAUUAGAAAAUCCUGAGGUAGCUGAACUUCCAUUUUGAAUAGCAGAUUAAUAACAAAUAUUUCUGAAGUAUUGUUUGAUACUGUUAUGUCUUUCAAGCCAGUAUAUCAAGAGAAAUCCUGCCUAAAAUGUUUCCUGAGCAAGAGAUUCAGUGGUGCAUUUUUUUUUUAAUGUAUAUGAUAUGCAUCUUUGUUUGAUAGAGUAGCAUCAGUAAGACGAAGCUGGAUCUAUACCUUGUCUGGGAAAUUUUCAAAUAAAAAAUGGAACUGAAACAGAAA